GAUGAACGCUGGCGGCGUGCCUAAUACAUGCAAGUCGAGCGGACGGACGAGAAGCUUGCUUUUCUGAUGUUAGCGGCGGACGGGUGAGUAACACGUGGAUAACCUACCUAUAAGACUGGGAUAACUUCGGGAAACCGGAGCUAAUACCGGAUAAUAUUUUGAACCGCAUGGUUCAAAAGUGAAAGACGGUCUUGCUGUCACUUAUAGAUGGAUCCGCGCUGCAUUAGCUAGUUGGUAAGGUACCGGCUUACCAAGGCAACGAUGCAUAGCCGACCUGAGAGGGUGAUCGGCCACACUGGAACUGAGACACGGUCCAGACUCCUACGGGAGGCAGCAGUAGGGAAUCUUCUGCAAUGGGCGAAAGCCUGACGGAGCAACGCCGCGUGAGUGAUGAAGGUCUUCGGAUCGUAAAACUCUGUUAUUAGGGAAGAACAUAUGUGUAAGUAACUGUGCACAUCUUGACGGUACCUAAUCAGAAAGCCACGGCUAACUACGUG
Molecule: ribosomal RNA, 497 nt
Filed under: uncultured bacterium
Lineage: Bacteria
Description: partial 16S ribosomal RNA
Rfam family: Bacterial small subunit ribosomal RNA
Source: RNAcentral